GUGGGGAAUUUUGGACAAUGGGCGAAAGCCUGAUCCAGCCAUGCCGCGUGCAGGAUGAAGGCCUUCGGGUCGUAAACUGCUUUUGUACGGAACGAAAAGACGCCUUCUAAUAAAGGGGGUCCAUGACGGUACCGUAAGAAUAAGCACCGGCUAACUACGUGCCAGCAGCCGCGGUAAUACGUAGGGUGCAAGCGUUAAUCGGAAUUACUGGGCGGAAAGCGUGCGCAGGCGGUUAUAUAAGACAGAUGUGAAAUCCCCGGGCUCAAACUGGGAACUGCAUUUGUGACUGUAUAGCUAGAGUACGGUAGAGGGGGAUGGAAUUCCGCGUGUAGCAGUGAAAUGCGUAGAUAUGCGGAGGAACACCGAUGGCGAAGGCAAUCCCCUGGACCUGUACUGACGCUCAUGCACGAAAGCGUGGGGAGCAAACAGGAUUAGAUACCCUUGUAGUCC
RNAcentral lists this ribosomal RNA (450 nucleotides) under uncultured bacterium. RNAcentral's name for it is "partial 16S ribosomal RNA". It matches the Rfam family "Bacterial small subunit ribosomal RNA", at positions 354 to 796 of the family's 1533-position model. The record is from RNAcentral.